This 67-nucleotide transfer RNA is filed under the name Scelotes anguinus (Boulenger's burrowing skink). RNAcentral describes it as "tRNA-Tyr". Lineage: Eukaryota; Metazoa; Chordata; Lepidosauria; Squamata; Scincidae. The record is from RNAcentral.
AUAAGAAUAGGAUUAAAACCUACAUACACAGGCAUACAACCUCCUUCCUUCUCGGCCACCUUACCCG